GAUGAACGCUGGCGGCGUGCUUAACACAUGCAAGUAGAACGAUGAAGCCCAGCUUGCUGGGUGGAUUAGUGGCGAACGGGUGAGUAACACGUGAGUAACCUGCCCUUAACUCUGGGAUAAGCCUGGGAAACUGGGUCUAAUACCGGAUAGGAGCGCCUACCGCAUGGUGGGUGUUGGAAAGAUUUAUCGGUUUUGGAUGGACUCGCGGCCUAUCAGCUUGUUGGUGAGGUAAUGGCUCACCAAGGCGACGACGGGUAGCCGGCCUGAGAGGGUGACCGGCCACACUGGGACUGAGACACGGCCCAGACUCCUACGGGAGGCAGCAGUGGGGAAUAUUGCACAAUGGGCGCAAGCCUGAUGCAGCGACGCCGCGUGAGGGAUGACGGCCUUCGGGUUGUAAACCUCUUUCAGUAGGGAAGAAGCGAAAGUGACGGUACCUGCAGAAGAAGCACCGGCUAACUACGUG
RNAcentral lists this ribosomal RNA (466 nucleotides) under uncultured bacterium. RNAcentral's name for it is "partial 16S ribosomal RNA". It matches the Rfam family "Bacterial small subunit ribosomal RNA", at positions 28 to 507 of the family's 1533-position model. The record is from RNAcentral.